AUCGAACGCUGGCGGAAUGCUUUACACAUGCAAGUCGAACGGCAGCACGGACUUCGGUCUGGUGGCGAGUGGCGAACGGGUGAGUUAUGUAUCGGAACUUGGCAGGUCGUGGGGGAUAACGUAGUGAUAAUUACGCUAUUACUGCAUACGAUCUAUGGAUGAAAGAGGGGGAUCGCAUGCACACGGCCGAUUGGAGCGGCCGAUACACGAUUAGGUAGUUGGUAGGGUAAAGGCUCGCCAAGCCAACGAUCUGUAGCGGGUCUGAGAGGACGACCAGCCACACUGGAACUGCGACACGGUCCAGACUCCUACGGGAGGCAGCAGUGGGGAAUUUUGGACAAUUGACGCAAGUCUGAUCCAGCCAUUCCGCGUGCAGGAUGAAGGCCCUCGGGUUGUAAACUGCUUUUGUACGGAGCGAAAAGGUCUCUCUUAAUACGGGGGACUAAUGACGGUACCGUAAGAAUAAGCACCGGCUAACUACGUGCCAGCAGCCGCCGCGG
This 500-nucleotide ribosomal RNA is filed under the name uncultured bacterium. RNAcentral describes it as "partial 16S ribosomal RNA". It matches the Rfam family "Bacterial small subunit ribosomal RNA", at positions 30 to 523 of the family's 1533-position model. The record is from RNAcentral.